UCGAGGAUCUUUCGCAAUGGGGGAAACCCUGACGAAGCGACGCCGCGUGAGCGAUGAAGGCCUUCGGGUCGUAAAGCUCUGUCACGAGGGAAGAAAAAGUUGAUAGUAAAUAAUUUUCAACUUUGACUGUACCUCGAGAGGAAGCCACGGCUAACUCUGUGCCAGCAGCCGCGGUAAUACAGAGGUGGCAAGCGUUGUUCGGAUUCAUUGGGUGUAAAGGGUCUGUAGGCGGUUCAGCAAGUCGGGUGUGAAAUCUCAUGGCUCAACCAUGAAACUGCGCUCGAAACUACUGGACUAGAGUUUGGAAGAGGAAGAUGGAAUUCCCGGUGUAAGGGUGAAAUCUGCAGAUAUCGGGAGGAACACCAGUUGCGAAGGCGAUCUUCUGGUCCAAAACUGACGCUGAGAGACGAAAGCUAGGGGAGCAAACGGGAUUAGAUACCCCCGUAGUCC
RNAcentral lists this ribosomal RNA (450 nucleotides) under uncultured bacterium. RNAcentral describes it as "bacterial SSU rRNA". It matches the Rfam family "Bacterial small subunit ribosomal RNA", at positions 355 to 796 of the family's 1533-position model. The record is from RNAcentral.